Molecule: ribosomal RNA, 433 nt
Filed under: uncultured bacterium
Lineage: Bacteria
Description: partial 16S ribosomal RNA
Rfam family: Bacterial small subunit ribosomal RNA
Source: RNAcentral
AACGAACGCUGGCGGCAUGCCUAACACAUGCAAGUCGAACGAGACCUUCGGGUCUAGUUGCGCUCGGGUGCGUAACGCGUGGGAACCUGCCCUUAGGUUCGGAAUCACUCCCCGUAAGGGGUGCUAAUACCGGUUAAUCUCUUCGGACCAAAGAUUUAUCGCCUUUGGAUGGGCCCGCGUUGGAUUAGCUAGUUGGGAGGGUACAAGCCUACCAAGGCGACGAUCGAUAGCUGGUCUGAGAGGAUGAUCAGCCACACUGGGACUGAGACACGGCCCAGACUCCUACGGGAGGGAGCAGUGGGGAAUAUUGGACAAUGGGCGAAAGCCUGAUCCAGCAAUGCCGGGUGAGUGAUGAAGGCCUUAGGGUUGUAAAGCUCUGUUACCCGGGAUGAUAAUGACAGUACCGGGAGAAUAAGCUCCGGCUAACUCCGUG